Camellia sinensis is the source of this 980-nucleotide non-coding RNA. NCBI's taxonomy places the organism in Eukaryota, Viridiplantae, Streptophyta, Magnoliopsida, Ericales, Theaceae. The record is from RefSeq and is a predicted model, not a curated record.
UUUCCCAAUGUUCGAAUUUCCCACAAAACCCUAUCUCUCUGAUUUCGUUUUCCCUCUCUCUCUUUUCAUGCUCAACUCUAAUGCCUUUCUUCGUGCGAUUCAUCAUUUUCCUAAGUUCUCCCCACCCCACCUUCACGCAACUCAUCUUCGUGCAAUUCGCCGAUGAGCAUGGCUUCUCGUCAUCACCGGCCUCUCCAUAAUAAUUGGUGUGUAUAUCCUUCUAUUUCUCUCUCUCAGUAAACCCUAACAUUUAUAUAUAUAUAUAUAUAUUAUAUUUGCCCUAGCCCCUUCACAAACACUGAUCGGUCUCUUCGCUCUCUCUAUCUCUCUCUCACAGUAAUAUGCCUGCUAUUUUUUUCGUUGGAUUUCGCGGGGGUUUGUGUAUGGAUUUGUAGUGAUUGAGCUCUGAGAGUGGAAUCAACAAUAGAACACAUCUGUCGUCAUGAAAGUGAUGGAGCCAUUCUUGUAUUCCUCACUGGUUGGGAUGACAUUUCUAAGCUACUUGAAAAAAAUUAAAGCACACAGUUUACUUAGAGAUCCCAGCAAGUUUUCUUGUUCUUCCUCUUCAUGGUUCAAUGCCUACCAUCAAUCAAUGUGAAAUAUUUGAUCGCCCACAUGCCAAUGUGAGGGGAUGAUGGUUGAAUUUGCAAAGAAUGUGGCUGAUUUUGCUACUGCUAGUGGAAAAAAGCACAUUGUUGUGCUUUCUAGCUUAGAUUUUGGACGAUGGCAAACAAUUGAUAUGUCAAGAUAUUUUUCGAGUAGGAGUUUGCUUCUUGUAGAAUGCAUGUCUGUGAAAAAUGUGACUAACUUAUGUUUUUGUUACUCACGGAGAAUGAUGAGCAAAACUUGUAAGUUUGGUUUAUGUUAUUUUGAAUUAUGAACAACAUUAUGCAUUUAAACAUUAUAUAUGUAUUAUGGAACAUUAUGUAGUGGGGUAAUUUUGUUGAUGUGUAAUUAUGAAUGCAAGAAUAUUUUUAUUA